Molecule: ribosomal RNA, 305 nt
Filed under: uncultured bacterium
Lineage: Bacteria
Description: bacterial SSU rRNA
Rfam family: Bacterial small subunit ribosomal RNA
Source: RNAcentral
UGGGCCCUACGGGGCGCAGCAGUGGGGAAUAUUGGGCAAUGGGCGCAAGCCUGACCCAGCAACGCCGCGUGAAGGAAGAAGGCUUUCGGGUUGUAAACUUCUUUUGUCAGGGACGAAGCAAGUGACGGUACCUGACGAAUAAGCCACGGCUAACUACGUGCCAGCAGCCGCGGUAAUACGUAGGUGGCAAGCGUUAUCCGGAUUUAUUGGGUGUAAAGGGCGUGUAGGCGGGAAUGCAAGUCUGAUGUGAAAAUCCGGGGCCCAACCCCGGAACUGCAUUGGAAACUGGAUUUCUAGAGUGUCGG